UAAAGGAAUUCUCCCAAACUAAGUGAGGAGCCCUCUGUGGAACGCACUUGGACUUGUGGUGCACAUGUGUGCAGGAGCACAGGCAGAGGCAGGAGCAUAUUGCUCAGAACAGAGCAUCCAAAUGGACCUCUUGCAGCUGCUGGGUGGAAGUGCCAAACAGUCUUCUCAUCAAAAAUAAG
This 179-nucleotide long non-coding RNA is filed under the name Ictidomys tridecemlineatus (thirteen-lined ground squirrel). RNAcentral's name for it is "lncRNA (ENSSTOG00000034476.1)". Lineage: Eukaryota; Metazoa; Chordata; Mammalia; Rodentia; Sciuridae. The record is from RNAcentral.